GAAGUAAAAUGUUUAAAUAAAAGCUGCUAACUUUUUAUUUUAAUAGUUAAAUUCUAUUAUACUUCUU
This 67-nucleotide transfer RNA is filed under the name Compsilura concinnata. RNAcentral describes it as "tRNA-Ser". The record is from RNAcentral. Lineage: Eukaryota; Metazoa; Arthropoda; Insecta; Diptera; Tachinidae.